This 289-nucleotide ribosomal RNA is filed under the name uncultured Blautia sp. RNAcentral describes it as "partial 16S ribosomal RNA". Lineage: Bacteria; Bacillati; Bacillota; Clostridia; Lachnospirales; Lachnospiraceae. The record is from RNAcentral.
CUACCCGGGUAUCUAAUCCUGUUUGCUCCCCACGCUUUCGAGCCUCAACGUCAGUUACCGUCCAGUAAGCCGCCUUCGCCACUGGUGUUCCUCCUAAUAUCUACGCAUUUCACCGCUACACUAGGAAUUCCGCUUACCCCUCCGGCACUCAAGCUCAACAGUUUCCAAUGCAGUCCAGGGGUUAAGCCCCUGCCUUUCACAUCAGACUUGCUGCGCCGUCUACGCUCCCUUUACACCCAGUAAAUCCGGAUAACGCUUGCCCCCUACGUAUUACCGCGGCUGCUGGCAC